Molecule: long non-coding RNA, 2233 nt
Organism: Bubalus bubalis (water buffalo)
Lineage: Eukaryota; Metazoa; Chordata; Mammalia; Artiodactyla; Bovidae
Exons: 3
Source: RefSeq, a predicted model, not a curated record
GUGAAAGUGAAGUUGCUCAGUCGUGUCCGACCUUCGCGACCCCUCAGACUGCAGCCUUCCAGGCUCCUCUGUCUUUUCCAGGCAAGAGUACUGGAGUGGGGUGCCAUUGCCUUCUCUGACCAUCUACUUAAAUGUACUCAUUUCCUGUGCAGAUAUUCAUAGAUGUGGUUAGAGACUCUUUGAUUGCUGUAGCUGCUGGAAUACCAAAACUAUAGGAGAAUUUUUAUCCAAAUAAAUAUAUAAAGACUGACUGUGGCUGCACAGUGAUCUUAUUCUAAAAGCUUUCGUGCUUCCCUCCAUCCUACCAUUGUAUUGUGGAAAGAAUAUUGGCGUCACUGGGACAAUUUAUUGUUCUCAUACAUUCCUGGUAUGUAUAUCUUGCCUAAAUGUUGGGAUGGCAUUUCUGUUUUUAUCUCUGUGCAUGAGGGAGUGAGGGAUAAGUCAUACCUUAUGACUCCCCAUCUCUCCUGUGAGCGAUGAUAACAACAGGGUGAGUCAUCAUAUAUUAUACACACAGCUUAUUUUUCUUCCUCUUUCUUGAGAAGGGCUGCAAAUGCUGAAGAUGACAGUUAAGGAAGAUGAAAACUCCAUAAAAGUUUUUAGCUAUGAAGACUAAGACCCAUAUGAACAUCUGAAUACAAAUCUUUCAACAGCCCUAUGUUAUCAUUUGCCUUGAAUAAAUAGAAGUGGAAAUGCUGGAUCAAAUGGUAACUGUGCAUGCAUGCUUAGUCAUGUCCAACUCUUUGCGACCCUAUGGACUGUAGCCCACCAGGCUCCUCUGUCCGUGGGAUUCUCCAAGGAAGAAUACUGGAGUGGGUUGCAUGCCCUCCUCCAGGGGAUCUUGCCAACAUAGGGAUCGAACCCACGUCUCUUGCGGCUCAUGCAUUGGUCGACGGAUUCUUUACCACUGAGCAGCCAGGGAUACACAGAAGUGGGAAUGGUAGAUCGAAUGGUAAAGGGCGGGGCUCAUGCCAAACUACAGUGGAGGUAAUGAAGAUAAGGGCGACCUCCUUCCAAAGGUCUCAUGCAUGCCCUGCUACACUCAGCGCCCCCAGCCCUGCAGCAGGCCACCAUCGACCACACCUCUGCCAGAGACUCCUGGACACUCACAGGCAAGUCUGGGUUGGUCUCUUGUGGGGUCAGUGCUCCUUUCUCCUGGGUUCUGGUAAUCACAGGGUUCUUUGUCCCCUCACAGAGUCUGUUUUCCAAUCCUGUAUAAGUUCUGGCAGCUCUAUGGUGGGUUAAUGGUGACCUCCUCCAAGACGGCUUAUGGCAGACCUAGGUCUGCUGCACCCAGAGCCCCUGCCCCCGCAGCAGCCCACUGCUCACCUGUGCCUCCUCAGGAGACACCCAAACACAGUUCUGUCUCAGUCUCUGUGGGGUCUCUGGGUCCUGGUGCAUACAAAGUAUGUUUGAGCCCUCUGAGCAUCUCUGGUGGCUAUGGGGUUUGAUUGUAAAUGCGAUUUUGCCCCUCCUACUGUCUUAUCGGGGCUUCUCCUUUGCCCUUGGAUGCGGGAUAUCUCCUCAAAGUCACUCCAGCACUGCGUAGCCACCACUCCAGUGCUUCAACCUGAGCCCCAUGCAAAUAUCUCAAACAUAGAUAAAAGAUUUUAAUAAAAUAUGAGUAAAUUGACUCUAGUAACAUACAAAAAGCUUAAUAGAGCACUAUGGAGCAGGGUUCAUUCUGGGGAGUCAAGGAUAAUUUGAUAUCAUAGAAUCAAUGAAAUUCACUAUGUUAACAGACUGAAUGAGAAAAAAUGAUAUUCUCAUAUCAAUAGACAUUUGACAAAAUCAACACCCAUUUAGGAUUUUUAGAAACUAGGAUAAAGGGAAUUUCCUUAACCAAUGAAGUAUAUAUUGAAGAGCCCCUAUAGCUAACACUAUAAGAAACUAAAUACUUUCUUCCUAAGUUUUGGACCAAAAAAAUGAUGCCCUUUGUUACUACAUAUGUUGAAUGAUAUCAAAGAAAUCCCAGGUAGCACAAUAAGAGAAAAAAAUAAAAGUUAUAGAGCUUGUAAAGAUGUUAAACUAUUCUUAUUCACAAAUCACAUGUCUAUGUAGAAACUCAUAAAAAACAAACCCUUGAGAUUAAGAGUUUACAGGAUACAAGGCCAGUAUGCAAAAGUCAAUUACUUUUCUUUAAAUAAGCAAAGAGCCAAUUCAGUGGAAAAGAUCCUAAUGCUGGGAAAGAUUGAGGGCAAGAGAAGGGAGUGACAGAGAAUGAGAUGGUGGG